Non-coding RNA from Megalopta genalis, 1554 nucleotides. Lineage: Eukaryota; Metazoa; Arthropoda; Insecta; Hymenoptera; Halictidae. The record is from RefSeq and is a predicted model, not a curated record.
ACGGUUAGUCGAAGAAAUUGUGAUGUGCGCGUUGCGACGAAAGUAAUUCAACGCUUUAAAUAAAUAUAUUAAAUCGCGAAAGAUACCGUUAAUACAAAGUAUAAAAUACGUAGAGAUUAGAUUUUAUCGAUUUUACGCGAAACAAAUGAAUCUAGGAGGAAACAAAACAUUUCUAUAGAAAACCUUUAGAGCCGCUGCAACGUCGUUUCAGCCGUUGUGCGUAAUCGAUCCGGAGCAUCAGAGGAUCAGACCGACAACGCAGCAGCGAGGACAUAGGAUCAAAUUGGUCAGCCUGUCAACGAACACGCACACGGUAUUCGAAAUUUUUGCGACGAAGAUGAAGAAGUUACGAUUAGAUUUUCUCGACCGGUGACACUUAUUCAUGCUCGAAAUGGCACCGAGAGAAAAACAACCGUUAUCGAGGCAUCGAAAUAUGCUAUUUCCGGCGAAUUUUUGCUCCCACAUCGGAUCAUGGAAAAUUCUUUGUACGAGAUCCGGCUUCGACGAUCCGGCAUCCUCGGUGUUCGAGUUGUUGUAACGGCCGAAACAGUGGAUCGAGAAGGCAACGUGAUUACAAUAUGUAGAACGUUAGAAUGAUCUAGAGUAACUGGUGCAGAAAAAUUCAAGAUUCUAGAUAAUAUCGUGAAUAAACUCGAUGCGUUAACAUCGAUGCAGAACUUGUGCGAUUAUAAUUGAUCAUCGAUCAACACAUUCUAUGAUUACCAUUUUUCUGUAACUGUGCUGUUAAUUGAAAACAAACGUUACUUGGCAAAAAGGAUUGCGACACGCGAUAUACCGUUGUUCGAAGCGACAGAAUUAACAUCGAAAUAAUCCCUAAUAAAUUCUGAAAUGAAAACAUAAUUUUUUCAUUUCUUUUAGCGCACUCUUAGCGCAGAAAUUAUCGCUUUAAUUUGUUAUAUAAUUUGAGGAAAUUUAAUAUGUCUUUCUUUCUUUCUUGAUCAGGAUAAUUGAUAUACGUAAGACUUGUAUGUACUACGUUUACGUAUAAUAUUUAUAAUUGUUGAUAAAGUUAAAAGAAACAUAAGCUUACUAUUGCAAUAUAAUUAUAUUAAAACAAUAUAAAUAUAUAAUGUUUGCGUUAUCGUUGAUCGUUGAUCAAAGUUGCUAAUGAACCUAACCAAGGAAACGGAACUGUUCGAGAGAGAAUCUAAUUCAUCGAUAUCGUAUUAAACGAACAUGAUAAAGAAUGUGAAACAGAUCCUCCCGAACAAUUCGGUAUUCUUUGGUUUACCAUUUUAUGCUAUAAUUUUGCCACAAUCAAUGUGUGUUUUGUUUUUAUGCAGCUCUACCGUAUCGACGCGUGAUCGAUUGUGGCGCCACGUUGGUAGAAAACAGGAAGCUCCGUCCGAUGUCCGCGCAGCGCCAAUUGGAGUAGCGGCAAAACGCUCAAACUGUUGGCCAAAUUUAACGACAGUCUAGAGUAACAAUUUUAACGUUACGCCAUUACCUCGACUGCAGCUCUACGAACAAAAAACUGACAAAAUUGCUAUACACGACGCAAUUUUGAAAAAUAAACGGAGAUUGUUCAACUAU